Long non-coding RNA from Oncorhynchus tshawytscha (Chinook salmon), 667 nucleotides. The record is from Ensembl. Lineage: Eukaryota; Metazoa; Chordata; Actinopteri; Salmoniformes; Salmonidae.
CUGUUUCCUACCUGUCCUGUGUCCUACUGUACCUGUCCUGUGUACUACCUGUAGUCACACCAGUAUUACUGUCCUGAGUCCUACCUGUCCUGAGUCCAACCUGUCCUGUGUCCUACCUGUCCUGUGUCCUACCUGUCCUGUGUCCUACCUGUAGUCACACCAGUAUUACUGUCCUGUUUCCUACCUGUCCUGUGUCCUACUGUACCUGUUCUGUGUCCUACCUGUAGUCACACCAGUAUUACUGUCCUGUGUCCUACCUGUCCUGUAUCCUACCUGUCCUGUGUCCUACUGUACCUGUCCUGUUUCCUACCUGUAGUCACAUCAGUAUUACUUCACAUCAGUAUUAUCUGUCCUGUGUCCUACCUGUCCUGUGUCCUACUGUACCUGUCCUGUGUCCUACCUGUCCUGUGUCCUACCUGUCCUGUGUCCUACCUGUCCUGUGUCCUACCUGUCCUGUGUCCUACCUGUCCUGUGUCCUACUGUACCCCACAUCUGUCCUACCUGUAUGUUCUGUUUGAAAGUUAAUUUUUGUCUGUGUUACAUAGAAAACACAAUAUGUUACAUGUAAACACCACACGUUAUCAUGGACAGGUCGAUUUUUAAUUAUAAUUAUUUCAUAACUUUAGUGUCUAUGUUAAUACACACAGACCUUUGAACACUUGAGCAG